GUCGGCCCGUCCUUACGGCGUGCAGACCUUGGUCAGUUCGCCGGCCGCGUCGGUGACGGGGCUGAGGUCGGGGG
RNAcentral lists this transfer RNA (74 nucleotides) under Streptomyces mutabilis. The record is from RNAcentral. Lineage: Bacteria; Bacillati; Actinomycetota; Actinomycetes; Kitasatosporales; Streptomycetaceae.